AGAGUUUGAUCCUGGCUCAGAGCGAACGCUGGCGGCAGGCCUAACACAUGCAAGUCGAACGGACCUUUCGGGGUUAGUGGCGGACGGGUGAGUAACACGUGGGAACGUGCCUUUAGGUUCGGAAUAAGCUCGGGAAACUGGGUCUAAUACCGAAUGUGCCCUUCGGGGGAAAGAUUUAUCGCCUUUAGAGCGGCCCGCGUCUGAUUAGCUAGUUGGUGGUGUAAUGGACCACCAAGGCGACGAUCAGUAGCUGGUCUGAGAGGAUGACCAGCCACAUUGGGACUGAGACACGGCCCAAACUCCUACGGGAGGCAGCAGUGGGGAAUCUUGCGCAAUGGGCGAAAGCCUGACGCAGCCAUGCCGCGUGUAUGAUGAAGGUCUUAGGAUUGUAAAAUACUUUCACCGGUGAAGAUAAUGACUGUAGCCGGAGAAGAAGCCCCGGCUAACUUCGUGCCAGCAGCCGUGGUAAUACGAAGGGGGCUAGCGUUGCUCGGAAUUACUGGGCGUAAAGGGAGCGUAUGCGGACAUUUAAGUCAGGGGUGAAAUCCCAGAG
Molecule: ribosomal RNA, 553 nt
Filed under: uncultured freshwater bacterium
Lineage: Bacteria
Description: bacterial SSU rRNA
Rfam family: Bacterial small subunit ribosomal RNA
Source: RNAcentral